AUUGAACGCUGGCGGCAUGCUUUACACAUGCAAGUCGGACGGCAGCACAGAGAAGCUUGCUUCUUGGGUGGCGAGUGGCGAACGGGUGAGUAACAUAUCGGAACGUACCGAGCAGUGGGGGAUAACUAAUCGAAAGAUUAGCUAAUACCGCAUAUCUUCUGAGGAAGAAAGCAGGGGACCAUUUGGCCUUGCGCUGUUUGUGCGGCCGAUAUCUGAUUAGCUAGUUGGUGGGGUAAAGGCCUACCAAGGCGACGAUCAGUAGCGGGUCUGAGAGGAUGAUCCGCCACACUGGGACUGAGACACGGCCCAGACUCCUACGGGAGGCAGCAGUGGGGAAUUUUGGACAAUGGGCGCAAGCCUGAUCCAGCCAUGCCGCGUGUCUGAAGAAGGCCUUCGGGUUGUAAAGGACUUUUGUCAGGGAAGAAAAGGGCGGGGUUAAUACCCCUGUCUGAUGACGGUACCUGAAGAAUAAGCACCGGCUAACUACGUG
RNAcentral lists this ribosomal RNA (490 nucleotides) under uncultured bacterium. Its description in RNAcentral is "partial 16S ribosomal RNA". It matches the Rfam family "Bacterial small subunit ribosomal RNA", at positions 30 to 507 of the family's 1533-position model. The record is from RNAcentral.